CCUUACCUGCCUUUACCAGUGCUUCUCAAAAUUGCCAAGGGAUCUUGCUGAAAUGCAGGUUCUGAUUUAAUAGGUCUGAUGUAGUGGGGCCUGAGCCUCUGCAUUUCUAUCAAGCUCUCAGGGCUUGCUAAUACUUCUGGUUCCUGUACUACAUUGUGAGUAGCAAGGCAUUAAAUAAUUUGAGGCUUCCUACGAUAAUCUAUAAAUUCUAUCUUUUAUUUCCUGGCUAUUCUUCUGCUAGGUGAGACUAAAUACUAAUGGAAAAUCAUAUCUACUGCUGUUACUAUGUGAAUUUAGCAACCAACCAUUGCCUCUCCUGGCAAUAGCAUGCUAGAAUGUGCAGGACUCUGAAGCUCCUUGAGAAGGACACAGAAGAGACUUCCAAUGCAGGGACUGGCCACUCAGGCUUUGGCUGUAUCUGGCAUAUCUCAAACCAGAAACUUUCUGAUCCACUUUCUGCACAGUAUAUUUACCUCAGGUGGUCUGCUGAAAGCGGCAAAAGGGUCCUGCAGCUGCACUGGAAAAUGGAAAAGGCCGAGGCCAUUCUUCUUUCUGAGGUUUUGCAAUGAAAACUGCCUUGCAUUGUUGACCUCCCGCUGUCCUCGCUGCACCACGCUCUACACCUGCCCCUCCCCACCCCAGACACUGGGCUCCAUGUUUCUCUGGUGUGCCUGCUCAUUUACUCAUGGUCCAUCCAGUUUCCGUCAUCCACGUUUUAGUUGAGAUCCUCACUCCUCUUUUCUUUGUCCUUGUAGAGUUAUAAUUCUCUAUUCUUCUGCUUUCAUUUUGUUUCCAGAGAACAUGGUGUUCAAUUCACCACCUUAAUUCAGAAGUAUAAUGAUUUAAGAAGGCUCAGCUGCAGAUAUGUAAAGAGAGAUUGGCAAAAGCAUAAUCAAGUCAAGUCAUGGCAAGGUUAUAAGAAGCAGUCACAAAAGCGUAGUAAUUUGAGUGCAAAUAGCAUUUUCAUCAUGACUAUGCCCGUUCACAGGGACUCUUUGAAACAGAAGUGUGGUUGGAAGGGAUUCCCCUUCUGCUUGUGGAAGGGCAUGAAAGGGGCACAGAGGUUAUGGAUGCAUUGUACCCUAGGCUCAGGCUCGUUCCUGGCUGUGUGAUAAUGGGCAAGUUGCUGGCCCCUUCAGUUGUGUCUUUGGAAAAUAGAUGUAAUUGCAUCUCCCUCAUUUGGAUAUGCAGAAGAUGAA
This 1199-nucleotide long non-coding RNA is filed under the name Callithrix jacchus (white-tufted-ear marmoset). RNAcentral describes it as "lncRNA (ENSCJAG00000074496.1)". The record is from RNAcentral. Lineage: Eukaryota; Metazoa; Chordata; Mammalia; Primates; Cebidae.